This is a long non-coding RNA of Acinonyx jubatus (cheetah), 755 nucleotides long. RefSeq lists it as uncharacterized. The record is from RefSeq and is a predicted model, not a curated record. The transcript has 2 exons. NCBI's taxonomy places the organism in Eukaryota, Metazoa, Chordata, Mammalia, Carnivora, Felidae.
CCUCUCCCUGGGCGGCAGCCUCUUGGCUCUGGCGGGGUGUCUCUGCCUCUGAGCAGGGGCCUUUGGCCUGGACUCUGAGCCUGCGCUACGCGUCGGCAAGUGUCGCCGGGUCCCCAGUGGCUCACACCCCCGUGGUUGUCCCGUCUUUCCCGGUCUGCGUAAUCUUGCUGUCCCCGAGCCCUGUUGUGCUAGCUUUCUGGUGCCUCCGAGCCUGUUUCUGUGUUUGUUUCAGCUGGUUUUUCUAGUAGCUCUCGGCAGGGCUGCCGAUCUGGCAAAAACCGGCUCCCUGCCGUAGCUGGAAGUGGCAGGCCAUCACUGCGGGUUUGUAGGGUUGAAAGGAAGUCCUUCCUCCACUGUGUACGCAUUGCGUCUCGGAAGGCGCUUGGGACACCCACUCUGUGGGCGUGAGGGGGGCUGGCACGGGCAGUCCUCUGGGGGCCACCUCACUCCCCGGGAGCCUGCGUGUGGCUGCCCCCACCUCAGGAGAGGCAGCUAGGGGCAGGUGGCCCCGGCUGGAGUCCUGGCCACUCCCUUGCUUUGUGACCUUGGACGAAUCACGGCUCAGUGCCUCAGAGCCCUCUGAAACAGAACAGCCUGCACUGUCAGGGAGGUGGCCUGGGCCUCCGCUGUCCUGGGCGUGAAGUAAAAACCAAAUACAAGAAGUCUCUGAGAAGUGGGAGAAGACGACCCUGGGACCCCAGGACCAACCAGGAAAGGGGCUGCCUAGCAGGACAGAAGGCUUCAGACAGUAACGC